RNAcentral lists this ribosomal RNA (1691 nucleotides) under Sanguinicolid sp. W1284. Its description in RNAcentral is "SSU rRNA". It matches the Rfam family "Eukaryotic small subunit ribosomal RNA", at positions 88 to 1633 of the family's 1831-position model. Lineage: Eukaryota; Metazoa; Platyhelminthes; Trematoda; Strigeidida; Aporocotylidae. The record is from RNAcentral.
CGCGAAUGGCUCAUUAAAUCAGCUAUGGUUCCUUAGAUCAUAUAUGCUACAUGGAUAACUGUAGUAAUUCUAGAGCUAAUACAUGCCACUAUGCCCUGACCCGCAAGGGGAUGGGUGGAUUUAUUAGAACAGAACCAACCGGGGGCUUGCUCCUGUUGUACUCUGUGAUGACUCUGGAUAACUUUACUGAUCGCAGUCGGCCUUGUGUCGGCGAUGGAUCUUUCAAAUGUCUGCCCUAUCAAUUUGUUGGUAGGUGAUCUGCCUACCAUGAUAAUAACGGGUAACGGGGAAUCAGGGUUCGAUUCCGGAGAGGGAGCCUGAGAAACGGCUACCACAUCCAAGGAUGGCAGCAGGCGCGAAAAUUACCCACUCCCGGCACGGGGAGGUAGUGACGAAAAAUACGGAUACGGGACUCAUCUGAGGCUCCGUAAUUCGAAUGAGUACAAUCUAAAUCCUUUAACGAGGACCAAUUGGAGGGCAAGUCUGGUGCCAGCAGCCGCGGUAACUCCAGCUCCAAAAGCGUAUAUUAAAGUUGCUGCAGUUAAAAAGCUCGUAGUUGAAUCUGGGUCGCGUGGUCACAUGCUGUUCUUUCUGUUGACGCGGUUACGACCGGGGAUCAGAUAAGUUCGGUGUAGUGGCUGUGCAGCCUUUCAGUCGUGUCUGUGAAAACAGGUGUCGGUGUGUCAUUGGUUUUACCUUUGGCAUGUCGGCACGCUUUCGGAUGCCUUUAAACGGGUGUCGGGAGCGGGCGACAUCUUUACUUUGAACAAAUUUGAGUGCUCAAAGCAGGCCUAUGUGCCUGAAAAUUCUUGCAUGGAAUAAUGGAAUAGGACUUCGGUUCUAUUUUGUUGGUUUUCGGAUCCGAAGUAAUGGUUAACAGGGACAGACGGGGGCAUUUGUAUGGCGGUGUUAGAGGUGAAAUUCUGAGAUCGCCGCCAGACAAACUACAGCGAAAGCAUUUGCCAAGAAUGUUUUCAUUGAUCAGGAGCGAAAGUCAGAGUUUCGAAGACGAUCAGAUACCGUCGUAGUUCUGACCAUAAACGAUGCCAACUGACGAUCCGCGGUGGUUCUUUAAUUGGCCCCGCGGGCAGUCCCCGGGAAACCCUUAAGUUUUUGGGCUCCGGGGGAAGUAUGGUUGCAAAGCUGAAACUUAAAGGAAUUGACGGAAGGGCACCACCAGGAGUGGAGCCUGCGGCUUAAUUCGACUCAACACGGGAAAACUCACCCGGCCCGGACACUGUGAGGAUUGACAGAUUGAUAGCUCUUUCUUGAUUCGGUGGUUGGUGGUGCAUGGCCGUUCUUAGUUGGUGGAGCGAUUUGUCUGGUUAAUUCCGAUAACGAACGAGACUUUGACCUACUAAAUAGUACAUUUGUCCACUGUGUCUUUGCAGACUGUGGCUUCAACUGUCUCCCCCGGGGAGUAGUGUUGCUGCAUGUUAGCGAGCACGGUGCGAAUGUUGACUUCUUAGAGGGACAAGCGGCGCUAAAACAGCCGCACGAAAUUGAGCAAUAACAGGUCUGUGAUGCCCUUAGAUGUCCGGGGCCGCACGUGCGCUACAAUGACGGUGCCAGCGAGUCUGGAAACCUGGCCCGAAAGGGUUGGGCAAACUGUUUCAUCACCGUCGUAACUGGGAUCGGGGCUUGUAAUUAUUCCCCGUGAACGAGGAAUUCCUGGUAAGUGCAAGUCAUAA